AACGAACGCUGGCGGCAUGCCUAACACAUGCAAGUCGAACGAGACCUUCGGGUCUAGUGGCGCACGGGUGCGUAACGCGUGGGAACCUGCCCUUAGGUUCGGAAUAACUCCCCGAAAGGGGUGCUAAUACCGGAUAAUGUCUUCGGACCAAAGAUUUAUCGCCUUUGGAUGGGCCCGCGUUGGAUUAGCUAGUUGGUAGGGUAAAAGCCUACCAAGGCGACGAUCCAUAGCUGGUCUGAGAGGAUGAUCAGCCACACUGGGACUGAGACACGGCCCAGACUCCGACGGGAGGCAGCAGUGGGGAAUAUUGGACAAUGGGCGAAGGCCUGAUCCAGCAAUGCCGCGUGAGUGAUGAAGGCCUUAGGGUUGUAAAGCUCUUUUACCCGGGAUGAUAAUGACAGUACCGGGAGAAUAAGCUCCGGCUAACUCCGUG
RNAcentral lists this ribosomal RNA (433 nucleotides) under uncultured bacterium. Its description in RNAcentral is "partial 16S ribosomal RNA". It matches the Rfam family "Bacterial small subunit ribosomal RNA", at positions 29 to 507 of the family's 1533-position model. The record is from RNAcentral.